GAGUUAGUCGAUCCUAAACGGUGGGUUAACUCCAAAUACAUAGAUACUUGUAUCUUGUACCGUGAAAGGGAAACAGGUUAAUAUUCCUGUACUAUAUCAAGGAGGUAAAGUGGUAACACAAAUGAACUCAAAUACAUCAGUAGAAUAACCAGGAAGAGUUCUCUUUUCUUUUUUAACAACUUCCUCGCAAGAGGUGUAUAAUGACCAUGGAAUCAAUUUAGUUGGAGAAAUGGUUUAAGAGUUGGUAGAGUAAUUCAAUUUCUGAAUUAUCUGGUUAGGUUCUAAUGGUACAUAAAAAUUUGAGGGAAUGAUCUUGCUUGAAUAGUCGUACUCAUAACCGCAGCAGGUCUCCAAGGUUAGAAGCCUCUAGUUGGCAGAAUAAUGUAGGUAAGGGAAGUCGGCAAAAUAGAUCUGUAACUUCGGG
This 424-nucleotide ribosomal RNA is filed under the name uncultured eukaryote. Its description in RNAcentral is "eukaryotic LSU rRNA". It matches the Rfam family "Eukaryotic large subunit ribosomal RNA", at positions 1532 to 1940 of the family's 3401-position model. The record is from RNAcentral.